GGGGGAUUAGCUCAUCUGGUAGAGUGUCCGCUUUGCAAGCGGAAGGUAAUGGGUUCGAGUCCCAUAUUCUCCA
Molecule: transfer RNA, 73 nt
Filed under: Amphiamblys sp. WSBS2006
Lineage: Eukaryota; Fungi; Microsporidia; Amphiacanthidae
Rfam family: tRNA
About the family: Transfer RNA (tRNA) molecules are approximately 80 nucleotides in length. Their secondary structure includes four short double-helical elements and three loops (D, anti-codon, and T loops).
Source: Rfam by way of RNAcentral